RNAcentral lists this ribosomal RNA (502 nucleotides) under uncultured bacterium. Its description in RNAcentral is "SSU rRNA". It matches the Rfam family "Bacterial small subunit ribosomal RNA", at positions 26 to 523 of the family's 1533-position model. The record is from RNAcentral.
AGAUUGAACGCUGGCGGCGUGCCUAACACAUGCAAGUCGAGCGGUAACAGGUGUAGCAAUACAUGCUGACGAGCGGCGAACGGGUGAGUAAUGCUUUGGAAUCUUCCCAGUAGUGGGGAAUAACCAGUCGAAAGAUUGGCUAAUACCGCAUACGUCUGUAAAGGGAAAGCGGGGGCUCGUAAGACCUCGCGCUAUUGGAUGAGCCAAAGUCGGAUUAGCUAGUUGGUGGGGUAAUGGCCUACCAAGGCGACAAUCCGUAGCUGGUCUGAGAGGACGACCAGCCACACCGGAACUGAGACACGGUCCGGACUCCUACGGGAGGCAGCAGUGGGGAAUAUUGGACAAUGGGGGAAACCCUGAUCCAGCGACGCCGCGUGUGUGAAGAAGGCCUGCGGGUUGUAAAGCACUUUUAGUGGGGACAAAAAGCUACGGACUAAUAUUCUGUGGUCUUGAUUUAACCCAAGAAAAGCACCGGCUAACUCUGUGCCAGCAGCCGCGGUAA